CAGAAUUUAACAUGAAAGUAAUAAUUUUUACCUCGUUUGUGUGUUCAAUUUUUGGGCCAAUUACAGCACCUCCGCCUUGUACAUCUCCACCAUGUGAUAGUACCCAUUUUUUAGCAGUGCCUCCAAGUCGAAGAACUGAAGAUGAAGACCAAUCGAAAGGGCCAAAACCACUAGCAGAACAGAAACCCGAGAUGUAUAGUGUUAUUGAAAAUUUACGGUUUAUACUAAAGUAUAACAAUCUUAUCAAUUACAUGACACUACAAGGAAAAUACAAAAUUGGAGAAACCAUAUAUUAUUUGUUGACAAAGAAAGAAAAACAGCUUUACGUAUACCGCUGAUAAAGCACUCCUCAAACAAGUAGUCACGGAGGGAUUGCAAGAAGAUUAUGAGCUUACUAAAGAAUAUAAAAAGUAUAAGGAAAAGCAUAAAGAUGAAAACAACAAAUCAAGCCCAUCAGCUAAAAAUCAAGAAAACUCUGCUGAGGAUAUGCCUUACUAUAUGCGGCAGCUUCUUUCCUCAUCCUUCUCUAUGUCCAAAUUCGGGACCCCAUCUCCAGCAGAUAAAAACAC
Long non-coding RNA from Planococcus citri (citrus mealybug), 569 nucleotides. RefSeq lists it as uncharacterized. The record is from RefSeq and is a predicted model, not a curated record. NCBI's taxonomy places the organism in Eukaryota, Metazoa, Arthropoda, Insecta, Hemiptera, Pseudococcidae. The transcript has 6 exons.